RNAcentral lists this ribosomal RNA (240 nucleotides) under uncultured bacterium. RNAcentral's name for it is "partial 16S ribosomal RNA". It matches the Rfam family "Bacterial small subunit ribosomal RNA", at positions 95 to 334 of the family's 1533-position model. The record is from RNAcentral.
CCGGCGCACGGGUGAGUAACGCGUAUGCAACUUACCUAUCAGGAGGGGAUAACCCGGCGAAAGUCGGACUAAUACCGCAUGAAGCAGGGGCCCCGCAUGGGGAUAUUUGCUAAAGAUUCAUCGCUGAUAGAUAGGCAUGCGUUCCAUUAGGCAGUUGGCGGGGUAACGGCCCACCAAACCGACGAUGGAUAGGGGUUCUGAGAGGAAGGUCCCCCACAUUGGAACUGAGACACGGUCCAA